RNAcentral lists this ribosomal RNA (86 nucleotides) under Indolivaga alginatilytica. Its description in RNAcentral is "Dysgonomonas alginatilytica partial 16S ribosomal RNA". It matches the Rfam family "Bacterial small subunit ribosomal RNA", at positions 1 to 84 of the family's 1533-position model. The record is from RNAcentral. Lineage: Bacteria; Pseudomonadati; Bacteroidota; Bacteroidia; Bacteroidales; Dysgonomonadaceae.
AUACAAAGAAGAGUUUGAUCCUGGCUCAGGAUGAACGCUAGCGACAGGCCUAACACAUGCAAGUCGAGGGGUAGCAUGAAGUAGCA